GCAUCCUGGGGCUGAAGUAGGUCCCAAGGGUUGGGCUGUUCGCCCAUUAAAGCGGUACGCGAGCUGGGUUCAGAACGUCGUGAGACAGUUCGGUCCCUAUCUGUCGUGGGCGUAGGAAAUUUGAGAGGAGCUGUCCUUAGUACGAGAGGACCGGGAUGGACGCACCGCUGGUGCACCAGUUGUUCCGCCAGGAGCACAGCUGGGUAGCUAAGUGCGGACGGGAUAAGCGCUGAAAGCAUCUAAGCGUGAAGCCCCCCUCAAGAUGAGAUUUCCCAAUUCGUAAGACCCCUUGAAGACGACAAGGUUGAUAGGCCUGAGGUGGAAGUGCAGCAAUGCAUGGAGCUGACAGGUACUAAUCGGUCGAGGGCUUAUCCAA
RNAcentral lists this ribosomal RNA (376 nucleotides) under Paenibacillus sp. 3LSP. RNAcentral's name for it is "partial 23S ribosomal RNA". It matches the Rfam family "Bacterial large subunit ribosomal RNA", at positions 2542 to 2925 of the family's 2925-position model. The record is from RNAcentral. Lineage: Bacteria; Bacillati; Bacillota; Bacilli; Caryophanales; Paenibacillaceae.